Molecule: ribosomal RNA, 253 nt
Filed under: uncultured bacterium
Lineage: Bacteria
Description: partial 16S ribosomal RNA
Rfam family: Bacterial small subunit ribosomal RNA
Source: RNAcentral
UACGUAGGGGGCAAGCGUUGUCCGGAUUCAUUGGGCGUAAAGGGUGCGUAGGCGGCGCGGUAAGUCGGGUGUGAAAUUUCGAGGCUUAACUUCGAAACUGCAUUCGAUACUGCCGUGCUAGAGGACUGGAGAGGAGACUGGAAUUUACGGUGUAGCGGUGAAAUGCGUAGAUAUCGUAAGGAAGACCAGUGGCGAAGGCGGGUCUCUGGACAGUUCCUGACGCUGAGGCACGAAGGCCAGGGGAGCAAACGGG